GCCUGGUGUGGUGGUGCACACCUGUAAUCCUAGCUACUCAGGAGGCUGAGGCAGGAGGAUCCCUUAAGCCCAGGAGUUUGAAGCUGCAGUGCGCCAUGAUCAUGCUACUGCACUCCAGCCUGGGUGGCAGAGUGAGAUCCUGUCUCUU
This is an unclassified non-coding RNA of Macaca fascicularis (crab-eating macaque), 148 nucleotides long. It matches the Rfam family "Metazoan signal recognition particle RNA". From Rfam's summary of the family: The signal recognition particle (SRP) is a universally conserved ribonucleoprotein. The record is from Ensembl. NCBI's taxonomy places the organism in Eukaryota, Metazoa, Chordata, Mammalia, Primates, Cercopithecidae.